AAUGAACUAGCCCUUGGUGCGUAAAAAUAGGUUCUUCCUUACCAGUCUCUGCCGUUGGAUCUGUGAGUUAAACGCUGCCAAAGCACAGAAAAGCCAUCAAAUCAAAUCCAAGCAUCCAUUUUUCCGCCAAAUACAAACUCCUCCUUUCUAUAAACCACUGAACAAAUACAUAUAUUGUGUUUGAUCAUUCCUUUUUCAGUACACACAUAAAAGGAAGUUAGGGUUGUGAUCAUGGCCGAAGCAGGGAGUCCAGGAGGAGGGCAGGACAGUGGUGGGAGUCCACAGUCCAACUUGAGAGAACAGGACAGGUAUUUACCCAUAGCUAAUAUUGGACGCAUUAUGAAGAAAGCAUUACCUGCUAAUGGAAAGAUCGCUAAAGACUCUAAAGACACUGUUCAAGAAUGUGUUUCUGAAUUCAUCAGUUUCAUCACUAGCGAAGCUAGUGACAAGUGUCAAAAAGAGAAGAGAAAGACGAUCAAUGGAGAGGAUUUACUAUCCGCCCUGGCUACCUUAGGAUUUGAGGACUACAUUGACCCGCUCAAGGUCUAUUUGACUAGGUACAGAGAGAUGCCAAGGGAUCUGCAAGGGUUGGAGAUGCAUCUGUUAGAAAAGAUAUAGCUGGAAGUCAGCUUGGGCCGAAUACUCAGUUUGUCUAUGACGGUUCUUUUGCACAAGGCUUAGACUAUGGAAAUUCCCAAAUAUGAAUUUUAACCUUCAGAACUCGGGGAUGAUGUGGCCGCCGUUCUACCCUUACUUAAAUACUGGACUUAGUUCGCUCAGCACAAGGUUCGAACUUGUGACCUAAGACAUAAGUCCCUCAACCUUUGCUAAUUGAGCUACCCCCGGUGGCAGAAACUUAACAACUCCUAUUAUUUCUGUUAUCCUUUGAAAUUUACUGGACAUCGAGAGAUGAAGGUGAAAUAAAAGAGCUAGUUGAAGGUAAAUACAGAUUCUUCAUGGUAUUCCUUGAGGGGUCGUUUGGUUGCUUGUUAGGAAGUGAACUAUUUAUGUAUUAAAAUCAGCAUAACUAAUACAUGUUUGGUAGCAUUUUAGUUGCUAUGUAUGAAAUUCAGUGCAUCAUGUACGGUGCUUGGUUACCAGUUUAUAAUCCCGCAUAACUAAAACGUAUAUGGGUUAUGAGUAAAUUUAUGUAUCGCUUUAUGCAGGGUAGAAGAUGGAAUAACUAAUACAUGAAUUAGUAAUACAUGAUUACUAAACCCUGCAUUACUGAAACCUGCAUAACUCUAACCAACAAUCAAACGACCUUUAAGUUCAUUUCGUUGUUUUGUUUUGCAUGGUUGUUGAAAGAUAGGGGAAAGUUUGUGCUCAGAUAAGUAAAGAUGGAUUAUGUUAAUUUUCAUGAAAUGAUAUGUCCACAAUUUCCUCCUUGUUGUAGAACACAAUAAAAGGAUAUGAGACAUUUUAUUUUGAGGGACAGAAUGUAUCUAGCAAUCAUCUUUGUAUUAAAAAUAUUAGUUUGAUCCACAGAGUUGAUGAAGCGCGAAUAAAAUACUUGAGAGAAACACGGUUGUGCAAUUUUUUGUGUAUAACAUUGGAAGCCUUAUUCUAAUAAUUAAUUAAAAAAAGGUCUAAUUUUAUUUUAUGGAUAUAUGCUCGACUUGAUGUUUAAAAUGCCAAGUUACUUUCUGAUAAAAAACAAAAAUAAAUAAAUAAAUGCCAGGUUACUUUCAGACUACCUGUGUACCAGUGGUGUUGUAUUUCCUUAUUUAUUUAUUUAUUUAUUUAGUUUAUGCUUCAAGCACCCAGUGGUCAGAACUCACUGGCCUGACUAAUCCGGUAGUAAGCUCUCGAUGGGUUUUAUCGCUCCCUACCGGAGAGGACUCCGCUCCCCAGGCUUAAAUUGUUAAGGGUGAAGGAACUUUUACCGUUCCACCACAUCCUUCGAUGGUUUGUUGUACUUCAAUAAUAGGAGGGAGUAAGGUAUAACAUAUACAAUUUUCAUAAUAUGGAAGUGCUCUCAAUUGUGGAAAAUGGGUUAUUUUUGCCUGUCAUUUUGAGUAGUUAAUCUUGCCCACAUAAUCUAUAGAACGUGUCAUUUCUCUUAAAUUGGUGAUCAUAUCGAUAUCUGGUGGUAGAUCCAUGGUAAAGAGGUCGUAUGAUUUUUUUUCUUUAAGAAAAACAAACAAACAUACAAGAGAGGAUAGUAUAGAACUAGGAUAAUAGUUAUAAAUGCUGGAUGUAGUACUUUAUCACAAAAAUUUUGGAUGUAGAAGCACAUAAUAGAUUGUUAUGAUAAUGGCGAGUUAUCCUGUAACAAAUUCAGUCGUUUAUAAUCAGAACUUGGAGAAGGAAGAAAUGGAAUGAUGAUUUCUUUCACUUACAAAAGGUUAAAAAAAAAAAAUAAGGAAAUGAAUGGCCCUCGGGGCUUAGAGGGUGUUUGACUAAAGCUUAUAAGCACUUUUUAGCUUAUCUACGCAUUUGGUAAACAUCCAAGUGAAAGCCCCCAAGUAAUGGGUUUUUAGCUUAUAAGUAUUUUUGGUUUGACCAAGUAUUUUACUAUUAUAUCCUUAAUGGUUUUCCUAUUUCUCAAAAUAUCUUUCCAAAAAACAAAAUUCCUAACUUCCUCCUCACUCUAUAUUCCCUGUUCCUCCUUUUUUACCAGGAUACUUUUAAAUUUACAUUUUUUUGCAAAAAUGGUUAGGGUAUUUUAGUCAUUCUAACAAACACAUCAACUGCUUAUUAGUAGUUUUAACACUUCUAUCCAAACACGUAACUGCUUAUUUAUAAAAUUAGUUUCAGCACUUAAAAGUACUUUUCAGCACUUAAAGGUUAUCAACUAUUUACAUUCAGCUAAUCCAAACGGGCUCUUAGUACAAGUGGAAGAGGUUGAGGAACUUGUGAUUAAGGUCACAGGUUCGAGUGCUGCGCCAUGUGAACUAAGCCUGCUAUUUAGGUGGAGUAGGGUAAAGGGUGAGCUUAUUAUUCCCGAAUUCCAAAAGUUAUGGUUGGUCCUAACAAUCAACCCUAAGCGGACUUCUUUGUUAUAAAAAAAGUAAAAGAAUGAGAAGUUGCUUCCUAUGGUUAAGGUCUUUUGAGGGUGUGGCUACCCCAUGCAAGUGUGGAUCUAGAGGUUGGAUUUUUCAUCAUAUAAAUUUUAAGAUUCGGGGAUAUGGAUCCAAGUGCAGAUAUGGGUGCUAAGAUAAAUAUGACCUCAGUGUCCGGACCAGGUUGCUCGCAUUUCGACUAAUUCAACGGGAUACCUGCCACCUCCCACCAACAACAGGUAUCAGGUAACCCUGUCCACCAAGGCUAAAAAAGGAAUCACAUAGUUUUUUUGUCUUUCUUUGGGAUUUGAACCUGAGACCUCAUGAUUCUCAACCCACUUCAUUGACCACUAGGCCACACCCUUAGGUGCGGCCAAUAAAUGUAUAUUACGACAUAUAUAAGUGUACAUUCCAUUAAUGAACGUGUUGAACUAAAACUAAUAAAAUUUAAUUAUUUAUAAACACCUAAUAUUUUAUUUAUAAGAUAUCUUGUGUAAUAGCAAAAUAUUCUCAUACUUUAAAUUACUACAUGUACAUGACAUAUACCUAAAUAUUAAACUAAAUACGCAAGGGGAAUCUUAGUAGUUCAGUUGGUUGGCUACCUGAACUUUCAACUUAUCGGUGAGGGUUCGAUACCCCACAUUGUAAUCCCUCCCCCAUUUUUCCUUCCCCUACCCCCAAUUUAAAAAAAAAUAAAAAAAUAAAUAAAUACGCCAUCGAUCAAUACUACUUGAUCAUACAUAUAGUCAAAGCACCCAAAGUAUGUUGGUCAAAUCCGAUGUAGACCCCACACCUACACCCCCACCCAAAUCGAACACUGAUGAGGCAAGGAUAUUGAAGAGUCCAAGCAACAUAGCUUCAAGCUCGAUUGACCUUGGCUUCUUCCACCUCUUGCAGUAUAGCUAUUGAUUCUUCUCAAAGUUUGAUUAUUCUUGGGUUUCUUUUCUAAUUUCUGCAGUUACAUGAAUGUCAGCAUGCUCUUGAGGCUGGAUUGCUCUCAGAUUCGAUCAAAUUGGCAUUUUUCUCGUUGUAGCUUAUUCAGUUC
Molecule: RNA transcript, 4050 nt
Organism: Lycium ferocissimum
Lineage: Eukaryota; Viridiplantae; Streptophyta; Magnoliopsida; Solanales; Solanaceae
Gene name: nuclear transcription factor Y subunit B-10-like
Exons: 5
Source: RefSeq, a predicted model, not a curated record